This 250-nucleotide ribosomal RNA is filed under the name uncultured prokaryote. Its description in RNAcentral is "partial 16S rRNA". It matches the Rfam family "Bacterial small subunit ribosomal RNA", at positions 525 to 775 of the family's 1533-position model. The record is from RNAcentral.
AAGGAGGGGGCAAGCGGUAAGCGGAAGGAUGGGGCGUAAAGAGUGCGUAGGUGGUUUUUUAAGCGUGAGGUGAAAGGCAAUAGCUUAACUAUUGUAAGCCUUGCGAACUGGAAGACUUGAGUGCAGGAGAGGAAAGUGGAAUUCCUAGUGUAGCGGUGAAAUGCGUAGAUAUUAGGAGGAACACCAGUGGCGAAGGCGACUUUCUGGACUGUAACUGACACUGAGGCACGAAAGCGUGGGGAGCAAACAG